This 1013-nucleotide ribosomal RNA is filed under the name uncultured bacterium. RNAcentral's name for it is "bacterial SSU rRNA". It matches the Rfam family "Bacterial small subunit ribosomal RNA", at positions 8 to 1051 of the family's 1533-position model. The record is from RNAcentral.
AGAGUUUGAUCAUGGCUCAGAAUCAACGCUGGCGGCGUGCCUAACACAUGCAAGUCGCACGAGAAAGGGGAGCAAUCCCUGAGUAAAGUGGCGCACGGGUGAGUAACACGUGACUAACCUACCUCCGAGUGGGGAAUAACUGAGAGAAAUCUUAGCUAAUACCGCAUAACACUUACGAGUCAAAGCAGCAAUGCGCUUGGAGAGGGGGUCGCGGCAGAUUAGUUAGUUGGCGGGGUAAUGGCCCACCAAGACGAUGAUCUGUAUCCGGCCUGAGAGGGCGCACGGACACACUGGAACUGAAACACGGUCCAGACUCCUACGGGAGGCAGCAGUGGGGAAUUUUGCGCAAUGGGGGAAACCCUGACGCAGCAACGCCGCGUGGAGGAUGAAAUAUCUUGGUAUGUAAACUCCUUUCGAUGGGGAAGAUUAUGACGGUACCCAUAGAAGAAGCCCCGGCUAACUUCGUGCCAGCAGCCGCGGUAAUACGAGGGGGGCAAGCGUUGUUCGGAUUUAUUGGGCGUAAAGGGUGCGUAGGCGGUUUGGCAAGUCUGAUGUGAAAUCUAUGGGCUCAACCCAUAGUCUGCAUCAGAAACUGCCGGGCUUGAGUAUGGGAGAGGUGAGUGGAAUUUCCGGUGUAGCGGUGAAAUGCGUAGAUAUCGGAAGGAACACCUGUGGCGAAAGCGGCUCACUGGACCAUAACUGACGCUGAUGCACGAAAGCUAGGGGAGCAAACAGGAUUAGAUACCCUGGUAGUCCUAGCCCUAAACGAUGAUUGCUUGGUGUGGCAGGUACCCAAUCCUGCCGUGCCGAAGCUAACGCGAUAAGCAAUCCGCCUGGGGAGUACGGUCGCAAGGCUGAAACUCAAAGGAAUUGACGGGGGCCCGCACAAGCGGUGGAGCAUGUGGUUUAAUUCGACGCAACGCGAAGAACCUUACCUGGGCUCGAAAUGUAGUGGAAUCCGGCAGAAACGUCGGGUCUAGCAAUAGACCGCUAUAAUAGGUGCUGCAUGGCUG